Molecule: ribosomal RNA, 440 nt
Filed under: uncultured bacterium
Lineage: Bacteria
Description: partial 16S ribosomal RNA
Rfam family: Bacterial small subunit ribosomal RNA
Source: RNAcentral
CCUACGGGUGGCAGCAGUGGGGGAUAUUGCACAAUGGGGGAAACCCUGAUGCAGCGCCGCCGCGUGAGUGAAGAAGUCUUUCGGUAUGUAAAGCUCUAUCAGCAGGGAAGAAAAUGACAGUACCUGACCAAGAAGCCCCGGCGAACUACGUUCCAGCCGCCGCGGGAAUACGUAGGGGGCAAGCGUUAUACGGAUUUACUGGGUGUAACGGGAGCGUAUACGGUUAUGUAAGUCUGGAGUGAAAGCCCGGGGCCCAACCCCGGGACUGCUUUGGAAACUGUGUAACGGGAGUACAGGAGGGGCAGGCGGAAUUCGUGGUGUAGCGGUGAAAUGCGGAGAUAUCAGGAGGAACACCGGCGGCGAAGGCGGCCUGCUGGACUGAAACUGACGUUGAGGCUCGAAAGCGUGGGGAGCAAACAGGAUUAGAUACCCUAGUAGUC